GUCCCAGACUCCUACGGGAGGCAGCAGUGGGGAAUAUUGGGCAAUGGGCGCAAGCCUGACCCAGCAACGCCGCGUGAAGGAAGAAGGCUUUCGGGUUGUAAACUUCUUUUCUCAGGGACGAAGCAAGUGACGGUACCUGAGGAAUAAGCCACGGCUAACUACGUGCCAGCAGCCGCGGUAAUACGUAGGUGGCAAGCGUUAUCCGGAUUUACUGGGUGUAAAGGGCGCGUAGGCGGGAUGGCAAGUCAGAUGUGAAAUCCAAGGGCUCAACCCUUGAACUGCAUUUGAAACUGCCGUUCUUGAGUACUGGAGAGGUUGACGGAAUUCCUAGUGUAGCGGUGAAAUGCGUAGAUAUUAGGAGGAACACCAGUGGCGAAGGCGGCCUGCUGGACGACAACUGACGGUGAGGCGCGAAAGCGUGGGGAGCAAACAGGAUUAGAUACCCCCGUAUUA
This 453-nucleotide ribosomal RNA is filed under the name uncultured bacterium. RNAcentral's name for it is "partial 16S ribosomal RNA". It matches the Rfam family "Bacterial small subunit ribosomal RNA", at positions 328 to 795 of the family's 1533-position model. The record is from RNAcentral.